RNAcentral lists this transfer RNA (76 nucleotides) under Paenibacillus contaminans. RNAcentral's name for it is "tRNA-Val". It matches the Rfam family "tRNA". From Rfam's summary of the family: Transfer RNA (tRNA) molecules are approximately 80 nucleotides in length. Their secondary structure includes four short double-helical elements and three loops (D, anti-codon, and T loops). RNAcentral also lists the same sequence under 1 other name. The record is from RNAcentral. Lineage: Bacteria; Bacillati; Bacillota; Bacilli; Caryophanales; Paenibacillaceae.
GACCUGGUAGCUCAGCUGGGAGAGCACUAUCUUGACAGGGUAGGGGUCGUCGGUUCGAACCCGGCCCAGGUCACCA